UACGUAGGGUGCGAGCGUUAAUCGGAAUUACUGGGCGUAAAGCGUGCGCAGGCGGUUUGCUAAGACCGAUGUGAAAUCCCCGGGCUCAACCUGGGAACUGCAUUGGUGACUGGCAGGCUAGAGUAUGGCAGAGGGGGGUAGAAUUCCACGUGUAGCAGUGAAAUGCGUAGAGAUGUGGAGGAAUACCGAUGGCGAAGGCAGCCCCCUGGGCCAAUACUGACGCUCAUGCACGAAAGCGUGGGGAGCAAACAGGAUUAGAUACCCCCGUAGUCC
RNAcentral lists this ribosomal RNA (273 nucleotides) under uncultured bacterium. RNAcentral describes it as "partial 16S ribosomal RNA". It matches the Rfam family "Bacterial small subunit ribosomal RNA", at positions 524 to 796 of the family's 1533-position model. RNAcentral also lists the same sequence under 1 other name. The record is from RNAcentral.